Molecule: long non-coding RNA, 880 nt
Organism: Vollenhovia emeryi
Lineage: Eukaryota; Metazoa; Arthropoda; Insecta; Hymenoptera; Formicidae
Exons: 3
Source: RefSeq, a predicted model, not a curated record
UAACUUGCAAUCGAUGCUUUUCGGUAUCGUUAACUAGCGACAGCCAAUGGCGAGGACGCAGAUUUUCAUUGGUUGUUCCUAGUUAACGUUAUCGAAAAACCUCGAUAGCAAGUUACAGAAUUCCCGUACUGAUGUUACGAACAGUAGACGCUUAUUUUAUCAACGACUGCUCAGCAACUAAAUAUUGUUAAUAAUUGUAAAACAAUUGAGCAACAGUUUCAACGAUUUCUAUAAAGAGUUUGCGCUCAGAGAAAGUUGUAUGGCCGUCCGCAGCAUUGAUAGUCUCUCACAGUGCGCGUUUUGCGCCAAAAUUCUCCGCAGCGAAAGGGUUAAUAUCAGGGUUGUAAACCGGAGCAAAAAUACGUUCUUUGGAGCGGUUUUGAACCGGUUCGAAUUUAAAAACCGCUCCGAAAACCGGAUGAAUUUACGGAGUAAAUUAUUUGGAACUUGGGAUGUAAACCGAACCGGAGCGAAUAAGAUUGUAAACCGGAGCAUAAAUACGUUCUUUGGAGCGGUUUUAAGCCGGUUCGAGUUUAAAAACCGCCCCGAAAACCGAAUGAAUGAAGUAAAUUAUUUAGAACUUGGAAUGCAAAUCGAACCGAACUGGUGAAAUUUGCACAUUUACCACCUUUCCAGCUAUGUAGCAAAGAUUCAAACGUGGUAAAUCUUUUUAAAUAAAUGAAAUCCUUUUUAGAUAAAGAAACCGCUCCAAAACCGGUUUUUCAUGCUCCGGUUCGAAACCGGAGCGUUUGAAAUCAUAAUCAAAAAUGGUUCGCUCCGGAUCGGAACGAUUUUAUAAUUGAAAUUUUGAUCCGUUCUCUCGGAGCGGAUACACUUCAAUGGUUCGGUUCGGUUUACAACUCUGCUUUUUAUACUGUAU